This 3737-nucleotide long non-coding RNA is filed under the name Fragaria vesca (wild strawberry). Its description in RNAcentral is "long non-coding RNA (FVES_LNC003161)". The record is from RNAcentral. Lineage: Eukaryota; Viridiplantae; Streptophyta; Magnoliopsida; Rosales; Rosaceae.
GACAGCUUAAAAGAAUCAACUUCUCAUUUCAAUAUAUAUUUGGAUACAACCAAAAUGACUAAGGGUACUCUCUUCCUAAAUGAAGCUCUUACACAUUUAAAACUCCAUCUAACUCUACGUCUUAAUCAUUAAUUGUCGUUGUUCUCCUGUUUCAUAACCUGCAAGACUGUAAAGGGGUGAGCUCAACCUGCGGCUCAGUAGGGAGCUAUUCCUCUCCAAACAAAGAUAAUCAUACAAUGAUCAUAUAAUAUGCAUAAAUGGAUGUUCUACUCUAGUUAAUCCACAUAGAAGAAUAAACUGAGCCUACAUGUCCCAUACCAUAUAUUUUACCAAGAAGGUGACUCAGCAUACUCAACUAUAUGAACAACUUCACCAAAAUCAAUCCCUAGCCCUCUUUUGCUAGUCAUCUUGUCCAUUCCCCUUUCUCCAGUCCCGAAUUACCCUUAUCAUUCCUAUACUAAUUGCACAAUAACCACGGGCAUACUUGGGACAUGGUUCCUGCUGAGGUUUGGACUCAACUACGCAAAAGAUCAAUUUCAUAUUCCCUUCACCACCCUUAUCCUUCAAAUAUCUUUACUGAAUGAUGCAUCAAACUAUAAACAACUCAUACUUUAAACAUGUAAUUUUAUCAAAUACCCAAGCAUUCCAAACAAACAUAUCAAACAACAUAUAUGCACACAAUACGAAUGAGUAGAGGUUCCCCAGAUCCCCAUACCUUGAUUCCAAGCUAUUGCCAAUGUACAUGUCCCUGCAUAGAAAUAGAUAUCCGAAUACAAUUCACAAUCCUAUCCAUAAGCACACAUUUAAUUUUAAAUACAAAGCUAUCGUAUGGCUUAAGAAUAUACUUUGCUUUAAAACAUAAGUCUCAAAAACAUAGUACCUAAAAUCUCAGGCCAUUAAGAUAACAUUUGACGUGCUAAAAAACUAAGCAAAAUGUGACGCAUGUUUAUUUUGAAGAAAAAUUGUUACACAUAGUUGAUUUCAAAAUGGCAUAAGUAUCUCAAAUAAAUUUGGAAGAUAAUGUCACAAGCUUUGUUUGAAAGUUGAGAAUGUGUGUGUUCAGUUUGUGGUGAAUCUAAACAAGUUUGAAUGAAAGAAACCAUUGAAAACAAAACGAACAAAUUAACAGUAAAAUAGUAACAAAUGCAGAAACCAUUUAAAGUUGACCUUCAACUUCAAAAAUUCAUAACUUAAUGUACAUAAACCAUUUUCAGGAGAUUUCAGUUCUGAAAUGAUCACUAAGAUGUCUACCAAAACUUUUGUGAAAACACAAACUGCAAAUACUGAACCAAAACGUACAGGUUUUAAUAGAAAGGUUACUUGGUCCAAAACUUUUUUUUUUGAAACAUGGACGUAAAGCCUUUGAUAUUGCAACGAAAAGAAGCAGUUACAACAUGACUUACCCGCAAGGGCAACGAUAGAAAAAGCCAUGCUAGAUAGCCCGAAAGCAACCUAAAUGAAACUACUAUGGAGUUCACUUGGUCCAAAACUUGGAAAACUGAUUUGCAGAAAUUUCCUGAUGCAGAACCUUAAUUUUGAAAAAUCAUAACUUAAUCUACAAAACUCCUUUUUAAGAGAUUCAAAUUCAGGAAUGAUGUUUAACAUGUGUACUAUAACUUUUAUGAAGACAAUAACUUCAAAUACUCAACUGAAAUGCACAGGUUUUAGUAAAAAUGCAGCUGGGUCAAAAACACAGAAAACUGAUCUGCAGAAUUUCUUACUGAAGACCCUGGACUUUGAAAAAUCAUAUCUUGAUCUAAAGAAAUCCUUUUGAAGUGAUUCAAAUUCUGGAAUAAUAUUUAAGAUGUCUGCUACAACUUUUAUGAAGAAACAAACUUCAAAUAACCAACCUAAAUGUACGGUUUUUAGAAAUCAAGGUGACUGACUCCAAAAUACAAGAAAGCUGAUUUGCAGAAUGUUCAGAUAUGUUUUCAGCUUCUAACUUGACUAACGAAUUCUAAAUGAACUUGCAUGAAACUACCCAGAUAUCAAGCUAAGAAUAUGACAUUUCAAUACAUGCAAAUGAUUUCUAAAAUGCAUGAUUAAUUCAAAACAUAUGGCUGCUCAAAGUUAACUAAAUGAACAAGUUACAGAAACUUUUCCAUUCAAAUGUCACUUCAGUUCAUGCAAAGUCUAACGUUCUUAAUCAGUUCUAUGGAUGUUUAUACUCAUAUAGGUUUCUUAGUCACUCUAAGCUCUUGCUGUGCAAGAGAAAACUAGAAUCUCUAAUUCAAACAGCAACACUGAAAUUACUCAGGACACCCAAACUGGCAGAACUAAAGUUCUAUAAUCAUCUUUAUCAGUUUCUAUUUUGUUUGGAAAAGAAUAAAGCUACUAUAUGAACUCAAAUGUAUCAAAAACUACUGAUUAUUGAAUAUAGACACUACAAUGUUUCAGAAUGAAGAAACAACCCAAAUAUUGCACUAAAAAGACUAGCUUAAAUUACCACAAAGACAACCAAUAAAAAGUAGCGCAAUAGUCUAAACUUCUAUAUUUUUAAGUAACUUUAUACAACUCCGGUCCUUGGUUUCUACUUUCAAAAUUUAUGAAUUAAAGACAUAAAUAGGAACACCAAUAUCAGAUAUCUAUAUCAGCAUAAUUUCAUAACAUAACAAAAAUUAAAAGAAAAGAGUACAACUAAAACAAUAAAAGUCUGACAGCAAGAUUUCCUGACCAGUAAACUUUCAGACUGAAAACGACAUAGUUUGGCUGAGCAAUUACAGUUGGUGUCUUCAUAACAUUUGUAAAAGACAACCUAAAGAUCAUUUGAGAACUGGAAUCGCAGAAAAAGGAUUUUUCUACAAUUACUUAUGAUUUUUCGAAAAUCAGAUACAGUAGAGAAAAACUGCUAUGAUGUAAGUCUAUAUCUCAUGUUCUAAGUAAAGGGUUUAAGACUGAGAUUUUAACAACAACAACAACAUCAUCAUAUACUUGAUUCUCUAGCCGUUAAUAAUAUAUAAGAACUGAUUUGGCUAACAAAGAAAUCAAAUUAAAGGUGACCAAAACCAAAGGAUUUAGUAUUCCUAUUUGCCACAGAAUUCAACAACAACAAAACCAAAACCAAUUCUUAAUAGGAACUAUUCCAAUCAAAUAAACAAUCAUACAAAGAUUCCAAAGUGAUGUCAAAUUCUAAAUUCACAAACUAAGAGCAUAUAAACACAAUCAAUUGGUUUGAACAUAAAGAGAAUCUAACCUGAGUUCUACCAAUUUCCUACAACACCAAUUUCUCUUCUCUACUCUCUCUCUCUCUCUCUCUAUCAGUGAACUCAAAGAAAACAUAUGGAAAACUCUGAAUACUAACCUCUAUUUAUAUGGUCUGGAAAGAGAGAAGAACGUGGAGUCCAAGAAAGACUAAAGAAAGUCAAAUUGAGCACUUCAACUCAAUUCUUAUCCAUCUGGAAACUUAGUCUCCAAGAAUUUUGACAUCUUCUGCUUAAUGAAGUCGGCUGCUAGGUGUUUCAAGGACGGUUUCUGGGUUUCAUGGCGGUAAUGUUUCGGAUUGGGAAACAUCUGGUUGGAAGAAAGAAGAAGUCGAUGAAGAAGAGAGGAUAAACCUUUGAGUUUAAUGGUCGGAAGGAAGAAGGUGAAGGAGAAGAAGCAGAAGGCUCUGAAGGAGAAGAAGCAGAAGGCUCUGAAGGAGAAGAAGAAGAGGACGACGUCGUUCUGCCUGAAUGAAAAACUCUUUCCUAUAGCUAUCAAAUUUGGGCUUGGGUUUUGUAUUUGGAUAUUGAGGUUGG